GGAAGUAAUUAUUACGCCUGGAAAAAUAACAGAAGCUGGGCUAGAAGAUGCGUAAAUAAAUUAGAUAUUGUAGAAUACUUUGCAACGAAGUUAUUUAAGUCCCCGGAUAUCGUAAAAUAUAGAUAAAUACAGAUGUUUGUGUAUAGCUGUGGAGCACUUAACCCACCAGGAUAACACUGGACAUCUACGAUUAAGACGGCACAAUGGGUUUAGAGGGCGACUUGGUAUAUAUUAACGUAAAGUAUGGAAUAAAUUGUUGAGGCUUGACAUUAAAAUGAAAAUGUUGGAGGUGAACAUCACUCUGGACAAAAGGGCCGAAGCCGGGUUAGAAGACGUGAAAGUAAAUUCGACUGUUAGCCGUACAGGGGUAAGAAAUAACUAUAAUACUCGAUGAUGGAUUAUGGG
Cinara cedri is the source of this 405-nucleotide non-coding RNA. The record is from the annotation of a GenBank genome assembly. NCBI's taxonomy places the organism in Eukaryota, Metazoa, Arthropoda, Insecta, Hemiptera, Aphididae.